UGGUAGUGUAUUGGACUACCAUGGCGAUGACGGGUAACGGAGAAUUAGGGUUCGAUUCCGGAGAGGGAGCCUAAGAAAUGGCUACCACAUCUAAGGAAGGCAGCAGGCGCGUAAAUUACCCAAUCCUGACUCAGGGAGGUAGUGACAAGAAAUAACGGACCGAAGCCUAUGUCUCGGGAUUGCAAUGAGUAGAAUUUAAACCCCUUUACGAGGAUCAAUUGGAGGGCAAGUCUGGUGCCAGCAGCCGCGGUAAUUCCAGCUCCAAUAGCGUAUAUUAAAGUUGUUGCAGUUAAAAAGCUCGUAGUUGGAUUUCUGGGAGAGCGCCAAUGUCGUCUUGUUGACUGUGCAGCGGCGCUCUUCCAUCCUUCUGUUAACGUUUCGGGUAUUCAUUUACUCGUCUCGGGCUCAGAUAUUUUACCUUGAGAAAAUUAGAGUGUUCCAGGCAGGCUCGCGCCGGAAUACAUUAGCAUGGAAUAAUAGAAUAGGACUUUAGUCUCCUUUGUUGGUUUGAGGCACUGAAGUAAUGAUUAAUAGGGAUAGUUGGGGGCAUUAGUAUUUAAUUGUCAGAGGUGAAAUUCUCGGAUUUGUUAAAGACUAACUUAUGCGAAAGCAUUUGCCAAGGAUGUUUUCAUUAAUCAAGAACGAAAGUUAAGGGAUCAAAGACGAACAG
Molecule: ribosomal RNA, 670 nt
Filed under: uncultured ciliate
Lineage: Eukaryota; Ciliophora
Description: SSU rRNA
Rfam family: Eukaryotic small subunit ribosomal RNA
Source: RNAcentral